This 1345-nucleotide ribosomal RNA is filed under the name uncultured bacterium. RNAcentral's name for it is "16S ribosomal RNA". It matches the Rfam family "Bacterial small subunit ribosomal RNA", at positions 28 to 1378 of the family's 1533-position model. The record is from RNAcentral.
GACGAACGCUGGCGGCGUGCUUAACACAUGCAAGUCGAACGGAAAGGCCCUGCUUUUGUGGGGUGCUCGAGUGGCGAACGGGUGAGUAACACGUGAGUAACCUGCCCUUGACUUUGGGAUAACUUCAGGAAACUGGGGCUAAUACCGGAUAGGAGCUCCUGCUGCAUGGUGGGGGUUGGAAAGUUUCGGCGGUUGGGGAUGGACUCGCGGCUUAUCAGCUUGUUGGUGGGGUAGUGGCUUACCAAGGCUUUGACGGGUAGCCGGCCUGAGAGGGUGACCGGCCACAUUGGGACUGAGAUACGGCCCAGACUCCUACGGGAGGCAGCAGUGGGGAAUAUUGCACAAUGGGCGGAAGCCUGAUGCAGCAACGCCGCGUGCGGGAUGACGGCCUUCGGGUUGUAAACCGCUUUCGCCUGUGACGAAGCGUGAGUGACGGUAAUGGGUAAAGAAGCACCGGCUAACUACGUGCCAGCAGCCGCGGUGAUACCUAGGGUGCCAGCGUUGUCCCGGAUUUAUUGGGCGUAAAGGGCUCGUAGGUGGUUGAUCGCGUCGGAAGUGUAAUCUUGGGGCUUAACCCUGAGCGUGCUUUCGAUACGGGUUGACUUGAGGGAAGGUAGGGGAGAAUGGAAUUCCUGGUGGAGCGGUGGAAUGCGCAGAUAUCAGGAGGAACACCAGUGGCGAAGGCGGUUCUCUGGGCCUUUCCUGACGCUGAGGAGCGAAAGCGUGGGGAGUGAACAGGCUUAGAUACCCUGGUAGUCCACGCUGUAAACGGUGGGUACUAGGUGUGGGGUCCAUUCCACGGGUUCCGUGCCGUAGCUAACGCUUUAAGUACCCCGCCUGGGGAGUACGGCCGCAAGGCUAAAACUCAAAGGAAUUGACGGGGCCCCGCACAAGCGGCGGAGCAUGCGGAUUAAUUCGAUGCAACGCGUAGAACCUUACCUGGGUUUGACAUGGAUCGGGAGUGCUCAGAGAUGGGUGUGCCUCUUUUGGGGUCGGUUCACAGGUGGUGCAUGGCUGUCGUCAGCUCGUGUCGUGAGAUGUUGGGUUAAGUCCCGCAACGAGCGCAACCCUUGUUCACUGUUGCCAGCACGUUAUGGUGGGGACUCAGUGGAGACCGCCGGGGUCAACUCGGAGGAAGGUGGGGAUGACGUCAAGUCAUCAUGCCCCUUAUGUCCAGGGCUUCACGCAUGCUACAAUGGCUGAUACAGAGAGUGGCGAGCCUGUGAGGGUGAGCGAAUCUCGGAAAGCCGGUCUCAGUUCGGAUUGGGGUCUGCAACUCGACCUCAUGAAGUCGGAGUCGCUAGUAAUCGCAGAUCAGCAACGCUGCGGUGAAUACGUUCCCGGG